Molecule: small RNA, 125 nt
Filed under: Marmota monax (woodchuck)
Lineage: Eukaryota; Metazoa; Chordata; Mammalia; Rodentia; Sciuridae
Source: RNAcentral
GCUGGGUGUCGUGGCACAUGCCUGUAAUCCUAGGGCUCUGGAGGCUAAGACAGGAGGAUCACAGAGUUCAAAGCCAGCCUCAGCAAUGGCGAGGUGCUAAGUGACUCAGUGAUACCCUGUCUCUA